This is a non-coding RNA of Salmo salar (Atlantic salmon), 73 nucleotides long. The record is from Rfam. Lineage: Eukaryota; Metazoa; Chordata; Actinopteri; Salmoniformes; Salmonidae.
AUCCCUGUGGCUCAGUUGGUAGAGCAUGGUGUGUGCAACACCAGGGUUGUGGGUUCGAUUCCCACGGGGGGCC